GGCCCCGUAGCUCAGCCAGGACAGAGCGCCGGCCUCCUAUCCCGUGCGGGGUUGGGAAAGCCGGUGGUCCGGGGUUCAAAUCCCCGCGGGGCCG
RNAcentral lists this transfer RNA (94 nucleotides) under Ignicoccus hospitalis KIN4/I. It matches the Rfam family "tRNA". From Rfam's summary of the family: Transfer RNA (tRNA) molecules are approximately 80 nucleotides in length. Their secondary structure includes four short double-helical elements and three loops (D, anti-codon, and T loops). Lineage: Archaea; Thermoproteati; Thermoproteota; Thermoprotei; Desulfurococcales; Desulfurococcaceae. The record is from Rfam by way of RNAcentral.